UGGCUCAGAGGUUAAAGCGUCUGCCUGGAAUGCAGGAGACCUGGGUUUGAUCCCUG
This is a non-coding RNA of Bos taurus (domestic cattle), 56 nucleotides long. The record is from Rfam. NCBI's taxonomy places the organism in Eukaryota, Metazoa, Chordata, Mammalia, Artiodactyla, Bovidae.